Molecule: ribosomal RNA, 269 nt
Filed under: uncultured prokaryote
Description: partial 16S ribosomal RNA
Rfam family: Bacterial small subunit ribosomal RNA
Source: RNAcentral
UACGGAGGAUGCAAGCGUUAUCCGGAUUUAUUGGGUUUAAAGGGUGCGUAGGCGGGAAGAUAAGUCAGUGGUGAAAUCCUACAGCUUAACUGUAGAAUUGCCGUUGAUACUGUUUUUCUUGAGUAUGGUCAAGGAAGGCGGAAUGUGUAAUGUAGCGGUGAAAUGCUUAGAUAUUACACAGAACACCAAUUGCGAAGGCAGCUUUCUGGCCCAUUACUGACGCUGAGGCACGAAAGCGUGGGGAUCGAACAGGAUUAGAUACCCCUGUA